CAGUCGCCGCGGGAAUACAAAGGGUGCGAGCGUUAAUCGGAUUUACUGGGCGUAAAGCGUGCGUAGGCGGCUUCUUAAGUCGGAUGUGAAAUCCCUGAGCUUAACUUAGGAAUUGCAUUCGAUACUGGGAAGCUAGAGUAUGGGAGAGGAUGGUAGAAUUCCAGGUGUAGCGGUGAAAUGCGUAGAGAUCUGGAGGAAUACCGAUGGCGAAGGCAGCCAUCUGGCCUAAUACUGACGCUGAGGUACGAAAGCAUGGGGAGCAAACAGGAUUAGAUACCCCUGUAGUCCCUGUCUCUUAUAC
RNAcentral lists this ribosomal RNA (301 nucleotides) under uncultured bacterium. RNAcentral's name for it is "partial 16S ribosomal RNA". It matches the Rfam family "Bacterial small subunit ribosomal RNA", at positions 509 to 807 of the family's 1533-position model. The record is from RNAcentral.